This 810-nucleotide long non-coding RNA is filed under the name Cicer arietinum (chickpea). RNAcentral's name for it is "long non-coding RNA (CARI_LNC002223)". The record is from RNAcentral. Lineage: Eukaryota; Viridiplantae; Streptophyta; Magnoliopsida; Fabales; Fabaceae.
UACAAUUAUAUAUUAAAGCAAAUUAAGAAUUAUUACAAAUCAAAUGAAAAUAAAAAAAGUUCAUCGUAAUUUAUUAAAAUAUAGAUCGUCUUCAUGCUCUUGAGAUCCUUAUCAUCGUUUCUUUGAAAGACACACCUUAUGUCGACGAACCCAACAUAAUUUUAUGUCAUCUUAUGUUCUUUCCUUACCCCUCAUAAACGAUAUCUCCAUAUAGCAACCAUCUUCUUUGCUACCUUUUAGGUAAGGAGAGAAAGUACAUAGGCAAAUUAGAGAGUACCGAAAAUCAUCCUUCCACCGAUAGAUAGAUUUUUACCCGUCCAUGAUGAAAAUUUCCUUUGCAUUGAAUCUAAAAUAAGAGACCAAGUAGAGUAACAUCUUAGAUUUGCACCAACCUAGAUCCUCAAAAAUUUAAAUGGAGUUGAUCCAACUGAACAAACGAAAAAGAUAGAAGCAGCCUGACCAAAAUUAUCAUGUAAUUAAAUUAAUACCAAAGAGGUUGUUUUUUGAAAAGUAUAUCUUCAAUCCCGAAACGAGCUUGAAGCCUCUUAAUAUAACUUUGAUUCCCCACGGGUUAUCCCAACAACCUUCGCACUCUAAAAUGGUGUCAUCAACAAAUUGUAAAAAGAGGAAAUUCAACGAGCUAGGGUUAACAACUUUUGGAAUAAGGGCCACAAAAGCUGCAACAAUCACUUUAGGAAGAUUGGCGUUUGAGUGGAAUUCAUUUAUAAAACAUCAGCCUAUUUUACUUUUAUAUUCUAUUUUGUUGUAACAAAUGUUUAGUUUUCAAUAGGAUAACUCCGCAUAAUAAAA